UACAAUAUUUUUUUCGGAUAAUAAUAUACGUGACAAUUAAUUUACAUAGGAAAUAAAAGUUUAAAUUUGUGGGCGAUUGUAACUAGGGGUGAGCAAAAUUGUUGGGUACCCAGUUUUGGACUCGAAAUUGGUUAGGACCCGCCGGGUCCAGAAUUGGAACUGGUGCAACCGGUUCUGGGUCCGGGUCCAAAAAUCAGGAACCGGUUAUAACUGGUUCCAGUUCCAGUUCUUGAUUUUACGGACCCGGUACUGGUUGCAUUGCUUUAAAAAUAUGUUAUUCGUGGCCUGCUCUGAAUAUAUGGGGCAUAAUUAUCUAUUGGGCCUUAUAAUUUCCUAGCCCACACUUUAUUUCUAACCUAAUUAGUCACCAUAUAUUUAAGGAGUACUUUUUUUUUUAACUCAUGUUUUUUUCAUUUCAUCACCCACCAAAAACCACUCAUAAUUUCUACUUUCAUCCGUCAAACAUCAAACUCCAAUUUGAUGAUUAUUUCACCCAACUUAAAUUAAUCACUCCAUUCUUAUCUUUUUCCCAAAUUCUUGUAUCUAAAUCCACUUUUUUCCAUCCUUAAUUUUUAUUUGUACAAUAGAAAGAGGUAAAAGAUGAAGGUGGUGAAGAAGAGGCCGAAAACAGAUGAAGAUUAAAGAUAAAUCAAGCUUACAUACUCUAUUAUUCUGAGUUUUAGGGAUGAUUUGUGUAAUUUCAGGCUAAUAAAUUUAUGAAAAAGCCAUGAUUAUGUAAUACAACCCGAGUUUGCUACUGAACUACAUUCAUCACCCAAACAGGAUCAUCAACCAAAGCCGCGGCAAAACCACCCAAGUACGCGUUCAUGUCUAGUAGGUUCCGGGGUUACUCCAUUAAGUGAUCCACUGUUAAUUCUUGGUGGGAUUGCUGUCAAUCUUGUAGGCCAUUUUGCUAAUUGUCCUCCUG
Long non-coding RNA from Chenopodium quinoa (quinoa), 928 nucleotides. RefSeq lists it as uncharacterized. Lineage: Eukaryota; Viridiplantae; Streptophyta; Magnoliopsida; Caryophyllales; Amaranthaceae. The transcript is spliced from 3 exons. The record is from RefSeq and is a predicted model, not a curated record.